UUAAAGAAAAGAAAAGAAAAGAGAGGAAAAACCAACAAGAGGACAAUCCUGGAUCAGUAGAUCCAACUCCAUACACCCAGCCUAUGAAACUAUGCCUCUUGUUGAUGAAAAAACCCCUCAAAAUAGCAUAAACAACAAAAGAAAUAUUACAUGCAAGCCACAAAGUUAUCUGGUCUAUCCCUGCCUAAUUUAGCCAAACAAUCAGCAAAACCAUUUAAUUCACGGGAGCAGAAGACAAAAGAACUAUUUGGUAGACGUGGAAUCAAAUUUAGAGCGCUUUUAAUAAGAUUGUCAAGCUUCCAUCGACCACAGGAAGAACCCAAAAUCCACGCAAGAGCAUUAGAAGAGUCAAACUCAAAAAUAAAACCAGCCCAUUCAUUAAAGGAAGUAAAUCAAUGGAUAAAGACAAGGCCUUAUGUAUAGCCCAAAGCUCAGCUUCGUUAGAUUCCAGUAAACUUGAAAGGCAUGAAAAAGAGACAAAUGAUAGAGCCAUUAUGAUCAUGAAGGACGCCUCCAAUUCCACUAAGACCUGGCUUACCAAUGGAAGAGCCAUCCGUAUUGCAUUUGGGAAUAUUUGUGAGAGGAGGAGACCAUGUAGUAGCCAUCCUUCUUUUUCCAGCAUUCUUCCAUAAUUUGAUUGAGUCAGCUUCUUGAGAUAAUUGUAGACUGGAGUAAGGAAAGAAAUUAUCCAUAUAUUUCAUCCACACAGAGACCCUGAAGAAAAUGGUGACUAGACUAAAUCGAUUAUCCGCAUUCAAAUCUCAAAAUCUCCAAAUCUCUAAGAUUAGAAGAAGAAGAAGAUCAGUUAGGGAGAGGGAAGAAUAAGUAGCAAGUAGCAACAAGAGAAGGGGAAGGAUAAGCAAAACAUGAGGUGAGGAGGCUCCUUAAAGGCCUAAAUGACGAGAGA
RNAcentral lists this unclassified non-coding RNA (907 nucleotides) under Hevea brasiliensis (rubber tree). The record is from RNAcentral. Lineage: Eukaryota; Viridiplantae; Streptophyta; Magnoliopsida; Malpighiales; Euphorbiaceae.